Molecule: ribosomal RNA, 463 nt
Filed under: uncultured bacterium
Lineage: Bacteria
Description: partial 16S ribosomal RNA
Rfam family: Bacterial small subunit ribosomal RNA
Source: RNAcentral
ACGAACGCUGGCGGCGUGCUUAACACAUGCAAGUCGAACGGAAAGGCCCUGCUUGCAGGGUACUCGAGUGGCGAACGGGUGAGUAACACGUGGGUGAUCUGCCCUGCACUUCGGGAUAAGCUUGGGAAACUGGGUCUAAUACCGGAUAGGAACCAUCUUUAGUGUGGUGGUUGGAAAGUUUUUUCGGUGUAGGAUGAGCUCGCGGCCUCAGCUUGUGGGUGGGGGGUUGGCCUACCAAGGGGGCGACGGGUAGCCGGCCUGAGAGGGUGUACGGCCACAUUGGGACUGAGAUACGGCCCAGACUCCUACGGGAGGCAGCAGUGGGGAAUAUUGCACAAUGGGCGCAAGCCUGAUGCAGCGACGCCGCGUGGGGGAUGAAGGCCUUCGGGUUGUAAACUCCUUUCGCUAGGGACGAAGCUUUGUUGUGACGGUACCUAGAUAAGAAGCACCGGCUAACUACGUG